GUGCCUACGGGACGCAGCAGUGAGGAAUAUUGGUCAAUGGUCGGGAGACUGAACCAGCCAAGCCGCGUGAGGGAUGAAGGUACAGAGUAUCGUAAACCUCUUUUGUCAGGGAACAAAGGCGGGGACGUGUCCCCGGAUGAGUGUACCUGAAGAAAAAGCAUCGGCUAACUCCGUGCCAGCAGCCGCGGUAAUACGGAGGAUGCGAGCGUUAUCCGGAUUUAUUGGGUUUAAAGGGUGUGCAGGCGGAAGAUCAAGGCAGCGGGAAA
RNAcentral lists this ribosomal RNA (266 nucleotides) under uncultured bacterium. Its description in RNAcentral is "partial 16S ribosomal RNA". It matches the Rfam family "Bacterial small subunit ribosomal RNA", at positions 335 to 598 of the family's 1533-position model. The record is from RNAcentral.